Molecule: unclassified non-coding RNA, 231 nt
Filed under: Hevea brasiliensis (rubber tree)
Lineage: Eukaryota; Viridiplantae; Streptophyta; Magnoliopsida; Malpighiales; Euphorbiaceae
Source: RNAcentral
UUUCUCCCAUCUCUUGGCCACACUCGUCAAUAACGGGUCCAUUAGAAAGAUCAAAAGCAGCAUCAUUGAGAUCAAGACGAAGAUCACGGGGAAGUUUUUCAAAGUAAUCUCGGGAGAGAUCAAAACUAUCGGCCAGUUUUUGAAGGAGAAGUUGGGGGUCGGGUUCUAAAGACUUGGGGGAGUCCGAUUCGGCGAGAGCAAAGGAAAGAGUGAGGGGUUUGAGUGGAAAAG